UCCAGGUUUGCUUACACUACACAGCACCUUGGGUAAGUGCCUUAUAUCAUAGUCUUAAGUUGACCAAAACCUAAGAUUCUAAAAUACAACACAUAAUAUGCUGUAUUUUAGAGUGUAAAUAUCAUGAUAAUCAUCAUCAUCAUCAUUUAACGUCCGCUUUCCA
Long non-coding RNA from Octopus sinensis (East Asian common octopus), 163 nucleotides. RefSeq lists it as uncharacterized. Lineage: Eukaryota; Metazoa; Mollusca; Cephalopoda; Octopoda; Octopodidae. The transcript has 3 exons. The record is from RefSeq and is a predicted model, not a curated record.